AUGGCGGCCGGCGAGCCGACGCGCGCGGCGGUGGUGGUGGCGGCGCGGGCCGCCGCCAGGGAGGUGCCCCGGGCGGCGGCCGCGUGGGCGCUGGCGCACGUCGCGCGGCCCGGCGACGCCGUGCUCAUCCUCGUCCUCAUGCCGCCGCCGCCGCCCGCCGCCGCCUCCGGUAGAAGGCCGUGGAGCUUCCCCUUCUUCGCGGGGGCCUGCGCCAGCGCCCACGCCGCGGCGCCGGCGCAGCGCUCCGACGUCUCCGACCUCUGCGCGCAGAUGACGCUCACCCUCCGCGACCUCUACGACCCCACCAAGGUGAACCUGAGGGUGAGGAUCGUCGCCGGCGCGGGCCCCGGCGCCGUGGCCGCCGAGGCGAAGCGGGCGCUGGCGAGCUGGGUCGUGCUCGACAGGGAUCUCAAGGUUGAGGAGACGCGCUGCAUGGAGGAGCUCCAGUGCAACAUCGUCGCCGUCAGGCGCUCCCGGCCCAAGGUGCUCCGGCUCAACCUCGCCUGCUCCACGGAGGAGACACGCCCGGAGCCGGCAGCUCCUCCGCCCCAGCCCGAGCCCAGUGCUUCAGGUGAUGUGGAGCACGAGAUGGUCUCGGUCCGGGAACCCGCCGUGAAGACGCCGAGCUGCAUCCCGGACUCAGAGACGCCGUCCGGCAGCACCGACGACGCCGGAGCGUCCUCCUCCGUGUCGACCUCGGACCCCGGCGCAGCUUCUCCACUGUCUGCUUCCUCUGAAGCCGUCAUCUGCAUCUCUCUGAAGAAGAAGGAAGAAGCAGAGGAUGUGAGAGCGUCCUCCGUGCCAAGUUCUUCAGAAGAACCGGGCAUUUCUCCAUUGUGUGCUUUAGAAGAAUCAGGCAUCUCUCUGAUGAAGAAGGAAGAAGAAGAAUCCGAGGAAACAUCCUCUGUGUCAAACUCAACAAACCCAGGCAAUUCUCCAUUGCGUGCUUCAGAAACAGACAGCAGCUCUCUGAAGAAAGAAGAAACCAGGAAUGCCGAUGCAACCUCUGUGUCAAGCUCAACAGACCCUGCAACCUCUCCAUUGUUCGCUUCAGAAACAGACAGCAGCUCGCCGGAGACGGAGGCGUUCGACGAUUCCACCGGAGCAUCCUCCGCCGCAAGCUCAGGCCAUGGCACCACUACAGUUUGUGUUUCAGAAACAGAUAGUAGCCCUCUCAAGAGAGAAGCAGCCAAUGUACUAUCUGGCCCUGACAGUGAAGCUUCAGCUCCAACUCCUCAGGCAGCAUCAGCAGCAGCCUCGCCGUCACUCCAGCCAUGGAUGGCCGACAUCCUGCAGCGACCCGCCGCAUCCCCAAGACCAACACCAACCCGCCGAAGAACCCCGACGGCGGACGCGCUGCUGGAGAAGAUCGCCAAGCUGGACCUACUGACCGAGAUCAGCGCCGUGAGGAGCAGGUCCGACCUCAACUUCAGAGGCAACGUCAGGGACGUCGUGUCCCUCUCCCGGACCCCUGCGCCGGGGCCGCCGCCGCUCUGCUCGGUGUGCCAGCACAAGACGCCGGUGUUCGGGAAGCCGCCGCGGUGGUUCAGCUACGCCGAGCUGGAGCACGCCACCGGCGGCUUCUCCAGGGCCAACUUCCUGGCCGAGGGUGGGUUCGGGUCGGUGCACCGAGGGGUGCUGCCUGACGGCCAGGCCAUCGCCGUCAAGCAGCACAGGCUCGCCAGCAGCUCGCAGGGCGACGUCGAGUUCUGCUCGGAGGUGGAGGUGCUCAGCUGCGCGCAGCACCGGAACGUCGUCAUGCUCAUCGGGUUCUGCGUCGAGGGCAAGAGGAGGCUGCUGGUCUACGAGUACAUCUGCAACAGAUCACUGGACACUCAUCUCUAUGGCCGUCACAAGGAGACCUUGGGGUGGGCUGCCCGGCAGAAGAUCGCGGUCGGCGCCGCCAGGGGGCUGCGGUACCUCCAUGAGGAAUGCAGGGUCGGCUGCAUUAUCCACCGCGACAUGAGACCGAACAACAUCCUCGUCACGCAUGAUUUCGAGCCACUGGUCGGCGAUUUCGGCCUGGCUAGAUGGCAACCUGAUGGGGACAUGGGUGUCGAUACAAGAGUCAUUGGCACAUUUGGUUAUCUAGCCCCUGAAUAUGCGCAGAGCGGGCAAAUUACGGAGAAGGCCGAUGUCUACUCGUUUGGAGUUGUUCUUGUGGAGCUUGUCACUGGACGCAAGGCCGUCGAUAUUAACAGGCCCAAGGGCCAGCAAUUCCUGACUGAAUGGGCCCGGCCAUUGCUGGAAGAGCACGCGAUCGACGAGCUCAUCGACCCGCGCCUCGAGGACCGCUUCUGUGAGAACGAGGUCUACUGCAUGCUGCACGCGGCGAACCUCUGCAUACGGCGCGACCCGCAUUCGAGGCCGCGAAUGUCCCAUGUUCUGCGCAUCCUGGAGGGCGACAUGGUGGUGGAGUCCGGCGGCUGCAUCUCCGCGCCGAGCAGCGAUGCCGGGAGCAUGAGCCGCCGCAUGCUGAGCGACCGGCUGCACUACCAGGAGCAGGGCAGCCCGGUUCGGUCCGAUUCGCAACGUGUCGGCGGGGUGAACCGCUCCCUUGAGACCACCCUGAGGAGCGCCUGGGAUGCUCAUGUGCAGGGCCUGUCUAACAGGUUCUGGUACCCUUCAGCAGCUGCCGCAGACUGCAGCCAGCACCAAAGAUGA
This 2664-nucleotide ribosomal RNA is filed under the name Triticum aestivum (bread wheat). RNAcentral describes it as "partial small subunit ribosomal RNA". The record is from RNAcentral. Lineage: Eukaryota; Viridiplantae; Streptophyta; Magnoliopsida; Poales; Poaceae.